Long non-coding RNA from Cercocebus atys (sooty mangabey), 1114 nucleotides. RefSeq lists it as uncharacterized. The transcript has 3 exons. Lineage: Eukaryota; Metazoa; Chordata; Mammalia; Primates; Cercopithecidae. The record is from RefSeq and is a predicted model, not a curated record.
UGAAGUUCCAGUAGAAAACAACCCACUCAAAUGGGAUAAUUGAGGAGAGGCUGGUCAAGUGCCUGUUUACAAAGAUGUGGGCAGGAAGGAUCAUGUUGGGAUGGAGAUGCCCAAGAUUGAAGCCUGGAAUGAUGAGCCACCACGUGGAGGAUGAACAACCUGAACCUGGUCUGAAGCUGGGGUUGAGACAGACAGCAAGAAGAAACAAAACCAGAGGAGAAGAAUGGAGCUGGAUUGUCUGUGAAGACCCUGCCAGGCUGCAAAAAAGCUGCAUUCGUAGUGCAGAGAAUGCAGCUGGAGGAGCUCUUUGAUUUAACUGUUGUUACUGAAAUCUGUGUAGCAUCAAGUGACUUAGAGCAGGAAGUUAUCUUAGAAUUCUGGAAAGAUUCAAGGUGAUUAGACAGUUGAGGAGUAAGAGUUCAAAGCCAGGACCGCUCAUUUCAGGCAAGGCUUGGGCAGUGACGUAAAUCCUUAGCCAAGAGCUAUAAUAGUCUUCUUUAGGCUCCCUGAAGAUAGGAGCCAGAUCUUAAUCCUUUCUGCAUCUACAAUGAAUUGUAUAGAACAAUAGUAGGUGCUUCAUGAGUAGCUGUCAGAUGAUGGCUUUGUGUAUCACCAAAGGAUGGGCCUUUCUGUCCCCUUGCAGCUCUGGUGCUCAUGGAUUAAAUUGUUUGGUCCCUUUCAGUUCUUUCCAUACCUGGCUUAUUGGAUACUCUCAACUACAUAGUUGGAACCCUCCUUUUCCCACGCAGUAGUGUCUCCCAUAAAGACUUUUUGGCUAGAUUCUGUAACUUGUCAGCCAUUUUUGAUUACAAGAAUAGUUCUUAUUCUAUUAUCUAAGACUCAUGCCUCUUCAUUCUUAAAAUUCAGUUUUGUGUGUGAUUCAGAUCUUGAGUCCUCCCCUCUCUCCAGCAUAGGCUAGUGCUGUGUUCUAAAUGUUUGUGUCCUCCUGAAAUUCGUAUGUUGAAACCUAAUCUCCAAUGCAACAGUAUUAAGGACUAGGGUCUUUAGGAGAGCUCAUUUGCCCCUUUCCCCAUGUGAGGACACAGCUACAAGCGCCACUUAUGAAGCAGAGAGUGAGCCCUCACUAGACACCAAAUCUGCUGACCUCUUGAUC